UACGAAGGGGGCUAGCGUUGCUCGGAAUCACUGGGCGUAAAGGGUGCGUAGGCGGGUCUUUAAGUCAGGGGUGAAAUCCUGGAGCUCAACUCCAGAACUGCCUUUGAUACUGAAGAUCUUGAGUCCGGGAGAGGUGAGUGGAACUGCGAGUGUAGAGGUGAAAUUCGUAGAUAUCGAGAGGAACACCUGUGGCGAAGGCGGCCAACUGGACGAGUACUGACGCUGAGACACGAAAGCGUGGGGAGCAAACAGG
Molecule: ribosomal RNA, 253 nt
Filed under: uncultured bacterium
Lineage: Bacteria
Description: partial 16S ribosomal RNA
Rfam family: Bacterial small subunit ribosomal RNA
Source: RNAcentral